CCUUUUUUUUUUUUUUUUGUUCCUUUAGCAUAAUUCAAUCUGACUGUCACCAACUACUCUCUCAAUUUUGAACUUUUAUUAGCGAUGAUUAACUAUUAUCGAUUUCUUAAUAUUGCAAGACUAAGAACCACCGGCAAUUAAAGAAAGACCUUAGAAAGAAACACAUAGCUCUUGCCAGGAGUCCUCUCGGAUGAUUAAGUCAUUAAUUAGGAGCCUGAUUAAAUAUAAUUUACAGGGAGACUUGAGUAGGUUUUCAUUCCAGAAUAAGGCCUUUUUAUGGUGCAAGAGUUGUAUUAUAAAUAGAUAACAUAAUCUGUAUUGCAUCUCACCAUAAAGUGAGCUUAGUUAAUUGUAGUUCGAUUUUCAUAUGCUAUUAAUUUGUAAUUUCAAAUUGGUUGAAAUUUGAACUUUGCCUAUUGGAAUAUGUCCAAUUUGGUUGUAAUCUCUAUAUUUUUGAGAUAUCCAUAAAGAUAAUGACAAUUUUUUUUCCUUCAUUUUUUCAAUGUCAAAUCCAUGAAAGAAUUCUGUUUUUGCAGUUUAUGGAUUUGGAUAUUGUCUGUUUUUUCUUUUUAUAUAUGUUCUUCGAUGCACAUAGUAAGAGCACAAAGAUAAUCAUUAUUAGCUAAGGAAUCCUUUCUUUGACUAAAGGCAAGCUCAUCAGUAGGUUCAAUUGGUUCGAAGUUGACAGAUCAUUUUGUGGGGAUGGGAUUUCCUGGAAAAAUGGUUGUCAAAGCAAUUCAAGAAAAUGGUAAAGGUUCUUUCUUAUUCUGAUUUGAAUUAUCUAAACACAUGCGUGCAAGGCACAAGUUGAAAUCUUCAUUUGUAACACUGCUGUGCUGAAAUAAUUCUUCAGGAAAGGAAAAUACCGAUUUGAUACUUAAAACUUUUCUUAAUUGCUCGGUGUGAUUCAUAAUUUAUUUUUCCUGGAAAUCAAUUUCAAAUUGUUAAUUUUCUCGAGUUAGAAGCUUAUUGGAGUACUUUUCUCCAAUUGUUAGUUUUCUGCUGCUUUCAAAGGAUUGGUAUAAUGUCUGUGAAUCAUAUAAAUCCAAUGAUGUUCAGUGGGCA
This 1065-nucleotide unclassified non-coding RNA is filed under the name Hevea brasiliensis (rubber tree). The record is from RNAcentral. Lineage: Eukaryota; Viridiplantae; Streptophyta; Magnoliopsida; Malpighiales; Euphorbiaceae.